CCCGCCGCCUUGCUGGAAGCUCGCAAGCGUCGCCGUGUUUUCCAUCGGUUCUCUAGCUACUUCGCUGUGGUUCAAUUCGAAGCCUCCUGCCGUGCUUCAAAAACCAGCAAAAGAAGCCUCAGGAAGAUUAAGUUGUCGUCCGUUUCGACCAGCCCUACUCCUCCACCAAACCUAUCCUGUCCAUCUGAGACUUCGAGUUGCACGCGCAACGAUGAGCAAUUCUUGGUGAACCAGAGUGCCUCAGUAAUCAAGAUCAGAGCCUUUGGCAACAAGUAAGACCAGCAAAACCCAAAAGGAUCAGCAAGAGCAAUUGGAUUAAG
This is a long non-coding RNA of Sorghum bicolor (sorghum), 320 nucleotides long. RefSeq lists it as uncharacterized. NCBI's taxonomy places the organism in Eukaryota, Viridiplantae, Streptophyta, Magnoliopsida, Poales, Poaceae. The transcript has 3 exons. The record is from RefSeq and is a predicted model, not a curated record.